CAAUAGCGUAUAUUAAAGUUGUUGCAGUUAAAGCUCGUAGUUGGAUUUCGGAAUGGGCCGAGUCGGUCCACCGCAAGGUGUGUUACUGACUGGUUUGUUCUUCUUCGCAAAGACUGCGUGUGCACUUUACUGUGUGUGCGUAGGAUUUACGACGUUUACUUUGAAAAUUAGAGUGUUCAAAGCAGGCUAUCGCUUGAAUACAUGAGCAUGGAAUAAUGGAAUAGGACUUUGGUCCUAUUUUGUUGGUUUCUAGGACCGAAGUAAUGAUUAAGAGGGACAAUUGGGGCGGAUCCGUAUUUCGUUGUCAGAGGUGAAAUUCUUGGAUUUACGAAAGACGAACAACUGCGAAAGCACUUGCCAAGAGUGUUUUCAUUAAUCAAGAACGAAAGUUAGAGGAUCGAAGAUGAUUAGAU
Molecule: ribosomal RNA, 413 nt
Filed under: uncultured eukaryote
Lineage: Eukaryota
Description: SSU rRNA
Rfam family: Eukaryotic small subunit ribosomal RNA
Source: RNAcentral